Molecule: ribosomal RNA, 487 nt
Filed under: uncultured bacterium
Lineage: Bacteria
Description: partial 16S ribosomal RNA
Rfam family: Bacterial small subunit ribosomal RNA
Source: RNAcentral
GAUAAACGCUGGCGGCGCACAUAAGACAUGCAAGUCGAACGGACUUAACUCAUUCUUUUAGAUUGAGAGCGGUUAGUGGCGGACUGGUGAGUAACACGUAAGCAACCUGCCUAUCAGAGGGGAAUAAUAGUGAGAAAUAAUUGCUAAUACCGCAUAAGCUAGUAGCAUCGCAUGAGGUAGAUUGAAAAGGAGUAAUCCGCUGAUAGAUGGGCUUGCGUCUGAUUAGCUAGUUGGUGGGGGAACGGCCUACCAAGGCGACGAUCAGUAGCCGGACUGAGAGGUUGAACGGCCACAUUGGGACUGAGAUACGGCCCAGACUCCUACGGGAGGCAGCAGUCGGGAAUAUUGCGCAAUGGAGGAAACUCUGACGCAGUGACGCCGCGUAUAGGAAGAAGGUUUUCGGAUUGUAAACUAUUGUCGUGAGGGAAGAAAUUGACAGUACCUCAGGAGGAAGCUCCGGCUAACUAUGUGCCAGCCGCCGCAGUAA